UGGAAGUACCAGUUACUUGGAUAACUGCGGUAAUUCUGGAGCUAAUACAUGCACCAAGCCCCGACUCACGAAGCGGCGCUUUUAUUAGAUCAAAACCAAACGGCUUCGGCUGUACUCCUGGUGACUCCGAAUAACUUUGGGCUGAUCCCAUAGCCUUGAGCUGGCGACCUUUCCUUCCAAGGGGUGCCCUAUCAACUUGCGACUGGGGCAUAAACCCCCACCGUGGUUUUGACGGGUAACGGGGAAUCCAGGUUCCAUUCCCGAAAAGGAACCUUAAAAACCGCUACCACAUCUAAAGAAGGGAGCAGGGACCCCAAUUACCCCAUGACCCAAGGGCCAGGUAAUGACCAAAAAUAACCAUUGCGGACUCCUCCCAAGGCCCCUAAUUGGAAUGAAUACCCUUUAAAACCCUCCCCCAAGAUCUAUUGGAAGGCAAGUCUGGU
RNAcentral lists this ribosomal RNA (443 nucleotides) under uncultured marine eukaryote. RNAcentral's name for it is "bacterial SSU rRNA". It matches the Rfam family "Eukaryotic small subunit ribosomal RNA", at positions 121 to 565 of the family's 1831-position model. The record is from RNAcentral.